CCAAUAGCGUAUAUUAAAGUUGUUGCAGUUAAAAAGCUCGUAGUUGAAUUUCGGGAUCAAUAUGUUGGUCGUGCCUUGGUACGUACUAGUUUAUUGGUUUCUUCCUUCUGACGAACCAUGAUGUCAUUAAUUUGGUGUCAUGGGGAAUCAGGACUGUUACUUUGAAAAAAUUAGAGUGUUUAAAGCAGGCUUCACGCUUGAAUACAUUAGCAUGGAAUAAUGAAAUAGGACGUUUGAUUCUAUUUUGUUGGUUUUUAGGAUCGACGUAAUGAUUAAUAGGGAUGGUUGGGGGCAUUAGUAUUCAAUUGUCAGAGGUGAAAUUCUUGGAUUUAUUGAAGACUAACUACUGCGAAAGCAUUUGCCAAGGAUGUUUUCAUUAAUCAAGAACGAAAGUUAGGGGAUCGAAGACGAUCAGAUACCGUCGUAGUCUUAACCAUAAACUAUGCCGACUAGGGAUCGGAUGAUGUUAAUUUUUUAAUGACUCAUUCGGUGCCUUACG
Molecule: ribosomal RNA, 499 nt
Filed under: uncultured Glomeromycotina
Lineage: Eukaryota; Fungi; Glomeromycota
Description: partial small subunit ribosomal RNA
Rfam family: Eukaryotic small subunit ribosomal RNA
Source: RNAcentral